RNAcentral lists this ribosomal RNA (302 nucleotides) under uncultured bacterium. RNAcentral's name for it is "partial 16S ribosomal RNA". It matches the Rfam family "Bacterial small subunit ribosomal RNA", at positions 508 to 809 of the family's 1533-position model. The record is from RNAcentral.
GCAGCCGCCACGGUAAUACGUAGGUGGCAAGCGUUGUCCGGAAUUAUUGGGCGUAAAGCGCGCGCAGGCGGAUCAGUUAGUCUGUCUUAAAAGUUCGGGGCUUAACCCCGUGAUGGGAUGGAAACUGCUGAUCUAGAGUAUCGGAGAGGAAAGUGGAAUUCCUAGUGUAGCGGUGAAAUGCGUAGAUAUUAGGAAGAACACCAGUGGCGAAGGCGACUUUCUGGACGAAAACUGACGCUGAGGCGCGAAAGCCAGGGGAGCGAACGGGAUUAGAUACCCCAGUAGUCCCUGUCUCUUAUACA